UAGAAAAUAAUAUCCAAUUGACAGCUCAGA
RNAcentral lists this non-coding RNA (30 nucleotides) under Mus musculus (house mouse). The record is from RNAcentral. Lineage: Eukaryota; Metazoa; Chordata; Mammalia; Rodentia; Muridae.